RNAcentral lists this ribosomal RNA (300 nucleotides) under Cloridina moluccensis. Its description in RNAcentral is "partial 12S ribosomal RNA". The record is from RNAcentral. Lineage: Eukaryota; Metazoa; Arthropoda; Malacostraca; Stomatopoda; Squillidae.
CCCGGGUAGUAUACAGUUAUUGUCUUGAAACCCAAAGAAUUUGGCGGUAUCUCAGUCUAGUUAGAGGAGCUUGUUCGGUAAUCGAUAAUCCGCGAAAAAUCUUACGUACUAUUGUAAUCAGUUUAUAUACCGUCGUUAUUAGAUAAUACUAAGAGGUAAAUAAUUAUCUAAGAAUAUUUGAAUAUAAUAUAUCAGAUCAAGGUGUAGCUUAUGAGUACGAGAUGAAUGAGCUACAAUUUAGUCUAUAAAAACGAAUGUUAAUUUUAAAUAAUUAAUUGAAGGUGGAUUUAAUAGUAAAUU